This 55-nucleotide transfer RNA is filed under the name Rattus rattus (black rat). RNAcentral's name for it is "partial tRNA-Cys". Lineage: Eukaryota; Metazoa; Chordata; Mammalia; Rodentia; Muridae. The record is from RNAcentral.
AGUCUUAAAGUGUUUAUCAUGUCGAAUUGCAAAUUCGAAGGUGUAGAGAACNCCC